GAUGAACGCUGGCGGCGUGCUUAACACAUGCAAGUCGAACGGAACUACUCCAAUGAGAGUCUUCGGAAAGGAUUUGGUUUAGUUUAGUGGCGGACGGGUGAGUAACGCGUGGGUAACCUGCCCUAUACAGGGGGAUAACAGUUGGAAACGACUGUUAAUACCGCAUAAGCGCACAGGAGCGCAUGCUCCGGUGUGAAAAACUCCGGUGGUAUAGGAUGGACCCGCGUCUGAUUAGCUGGUUGGCGGGGUAACGGCCCACCAAGGCGACGAUCAGUAGCCGGCCUGAGAGGGUGAACGGCCACAUUGGGACUGAGACACGGCCCAAACUCCUACGGGAAGCAGCAGUGGGGAAUAUUGCACAAUGGGGGAAACCCUGAUGCAGCGACGCCGCGUGAGCGAAGAAGUAUCUCGGUAUGUAAAGCUCUAUCAGCAGGGAAGAAAAUGACGGUACCUGACUAAGAAGCCCCGGCUAACUACGUG
Molecule: ribosomal RNA, 480 nt
Filed under: uncultured bacterium
Lineage: Bacteria
Description: partial 16S ribosomal RNA
Rfam family: Bacterial small subunit ribosomal RNA
Source: RNAcentral